Molecule: transfer RNA, 95 nt
Filed under: Streptomyces sp. 1-11
Lineage: Bacteria; Bacillati; Actinomycetota; Actinomycetes; Kitasatosporales; Streptomycetaceae
Description: tRNA-Glu
Source: RNAcentral
GUCCCGGUGGCCCAGGACGGGGUGGCGGUGAUCUCGACGACGGCGGCGAACAGGGAGACGCCGAAGCUGUUGUUGAGCAUCAGCACCCGGUCGCC